GGCUUUGCCCCGUGGCUUGCUCCCCUCCUCAGUACUGUUCUCUCCCGUGUGGCACAGCCAGGCUUACUCAUCAUUUCAUCUGCAGCCCUGCCCAUACCAGCGUGUGCUGAACGAUGUUGAACCUUAGGCGACGGAGGCCGACUGGAACCAGGGCUCUGAGUGACAGAGACGCAGUUAUGUCUAAGGACAUACGCUAGAAUGGCUGAUGCAGGGCGCAAGCUCGAUUCCUGCAGAUGUGUGUUAAUGAGCAGCUCCCUCAUUUUUGCAAAGCUGCCAAUCAGAGUGGACCAGCUGGAG
Molecule: long non-coding RNA, 297 nt
Filed under: Homo sapiens (human)
Lineage: Eukaryota; Metazoa; Chordata; Mammalia; Primates; Hominidae
Description: HSALNT0355205
Source: RNAcentral